Molecule: transfer RNA, 73 nt
Filed under: Deltaproteobacteria bacterium
Lineage: Bacteria; Pseudomonadati; Myxococcota; Myxococcia
Also listed under: 10 other names
Description: tRNA-Ala
Rfam family: tRNA
About the family: Transfer RNA (tRNA) molecules are approximately 80 nucleotides in length.
Source: RNAcentral
GGGGAUAUAGCUCAGCUGGGAGAGCGCGUGAAUGGCAUUCACGAGGUCAGGGGUUCGAUCCCCCUUAUCUCCA